Molecule: ribosomal RNA, 473 nt
Filed under: uncultured bacterium
Lineage: Bacteria
Description: bacterial SSU rRNA
Rfam family: Bacterial small subunit ribosomal RNA
Source: RNAcentral
UGGGGAAUUUUGGACAAUGGGGGCAACCCUGAUCCAGCCAUGCCGCGUGAGUGAUGAAGGCCUUCGGGUCGUAAACCACUGUCAGGAGGAAAGAAAAGUCGGCCGGAUAAUACUCGGUCGACCUGACGGUACCUCCAAAGGAAGCACCGGCUAACUCCGUGCCAGCAGCCGCGGUAAUACGGAGGGUGCAAGCGUUGUUCGGAAUUACUGGGCGUAAAGCGCGUGUAGGUGGUCGAGUAAGUCGAAUGUGAAAGCCCCGGGCUCAACCCGGGAAGUGCAUCCGAAACUGCUCGACUAGAGUCCCGGAGAGGAAGGCAGAAUUCCCAAUGUAGGGGUGAAAUCCGUAGAUAUUGGGAGGAAUACCGGUGGCGAAGGCGGCCUUCUGGACGGUGACUGACACUCAGACGCGAAAGCGUGGGGAGCAAACAGGAUUAGAUACCCCGGUAGUCCCUGAGCGGGCUGGCAAGGCGCAU